AACGAACGCUGGCGGCAUGCCUAACACAUGCAAGUCGAACGAGACCUUCGGGUCUAGUGGCGCACGGGUGCGUAACGCGUGGGAACCUGCCUUUAGGUUCGGAAUAACUCAGAGAAAUUUGAGCUAAUACCGGAUGAUGUCUUCGGACCAAAGAUUUAUCGCCUUUAGAUGGGCCCGCGUUGGAUUAGCUAGUUGGUGGGGUAAAGGCCUACCAAGGCGACGAUCCAUAGCUGGUCUGAGAGGAUGAUCAGCCACACUGGGACUGAGACACGGCCCAGACUCCUACGGGAGGGAGCAGUGGGGAAUAUUGGACAAGGGACGAAAGCCUGAUCCAGCAAUGCCGCGUGGGUGAUGAAGGCCUUAGGGUUGUAAAGCUCUUUUACCCGAGAUGAUAGUGACAGUAACGGGAGAAGAAGCACCGGCUAACUCCGUG
RNAcentral lists this ribosomal RNA (433 nucleotides) under uncultured bacterium. Its description in RNAcentral is "partial 16S ribosomal RNA". It matches the Rfam family "Bacterial small subunit ribosomal RNA", at positions 29 to 507 of the family's 1533-position model. The record is from RNAcentral.